CCUACGGGAGGCAGCAGUGAGGAAUAUUGGUCAAUGGUCGGGAGACUGAACCAGCCAAGCCGCGUGAGGGAGGAAGGUACAGAGUAUCGUAAACCUCUUUUGUCAGGGAACAAAGGCGGGGACGUGUCCCCGGAUGAGUGUACCUGAAGAAAAAGCAUCGGCUAACUCCGUGCCAGCAGCCGCGGUAAUACGGGGGAUGCGAGCGUUAUCCGGAUUUAUCGGGUUUAAAGGGUGCGCAGGCGGUCUGUUAAGUCAGCGGUCAAAGCCCGGGGCUCAACCCCGGCCCGCCGUUGAAACUGGCAGUCUCGAGUUGGAGAGAAGUAUGCGGAAUGCGCGGUGUAGCGGUGAAAUGCAUAGAUAUCGCGCAGAACUCCGAUUGCGAAGGCAGCAUGCCGGCUCCACACUGACGCUGAGGCACGAAAGCGUGGGUAUCGAACAGGAUUAGAUACCCUUGUAGUC
RNAcentral lists this ribosomal RNA (459 nucleotides) under uncultured bacterium. RNAcentral's name for it is "partial 16S ribosomal RNA". It matches the Rfam family "Bacterial small subunit ribosomal RNA", at positions 338 to 795 of the family's 1533-position model. The record is from RNAcentral.